RNAcentral lists this ribosomal RNA (567 nucleotides) under Saccharomyces cerevisiae (brewer's yeast). RNAcentral's name for it is "eukaryotic LSU rRNA". It matches the Rfam family "Eukaryotic large subunit ribosomal RNA", at positions 51 to 631 of the family's 3401-position model. Lineage: Eukaryota; Fungi; Ascomycota; Saccharomycetes; Saccharomycetales; Saccharomycetaceae. The record is from RNAcentral.
UGGAGGAAAAGAAAACCAACCGGGAUUGCCUUAGUAACGGCGAGUGAAGCGGCAAAAGCUCAAAUUUGAAAUCUGGUACCUUCGGUGCCCGAGUUGUAAUUUGGAGAGGGCAACUUUGGGGCCGUUCCUUGUCUAUGUUCCUUGGAACAGGACGUCAUAGAGGGUGAGAAUCCCGUGUGGCGAGGAGUGCGGUUCUUUGUAAAGUGCCUUCGAAGAGUCGAGUUGUUUGGGAAUGCAGCUCUAAGUGGGUGGUAAAUUCCAUCUAAAGCUAAAUAUUGGCGAGAGACCGAUAGCGAACAAGUACAGUGAUGGAAAGAUGAAAAGAACUUUGAAAAGAGAGUGAAAAAGUACGUGAAAUUGUUGAAAGGGAAGGGCAUUUGAUCAGACAUGGUGUUUUGUGCCCUCUGCUCCUUGUGGGUAGGGGAAUCUCGCAUUUCACUGGGCCAGCAUCAGUUUUGGUGGCAGGAUAAAUCCAUAGGAAUGUAGCUUGCCUCGGUAAGUAUUAUAGCCUGUGGGAAUACUGCCAGCUGGGACUGAGGACUGCGACGUAAGUCAAGGAUGCUGGCA